Molecule: long non-coding RNA, 633 nt
Organism: Limulus polyphemus (Atlantic horseshoe crab)
Lineage: Eukaryota; Metazoa; Arthropoda; Merostomata; Xiphosura; Limulidae
Exons: 2
Source: RefSeq, a predicted model, not a curated record
UCUGUCAAGAGGAUUAAACUCUGUAACUGAGUUCUGUCAAGAGGAUUAAACUCUGUAACUGAGUUCUGUCAAGACCAUUAAACUUUAUAACUGAGUUCGCUCAAGAGAAUAAACUUUAUAACUGACUUCUAUCAAGAGCAUUAAACUUUAUAACUGAGUUCUGCCAAGAGCAUUAAACUUUGUAACAGAGUUCUGUCAAGAGCAUUAAACUUUGUAACAGAUUUCUGUCAAGAGCAUUAAACUUUUAUAACAGAGUUCUGUCAAGAGCAUUAAACUUUUAUAACUGAGUUCUGUCAAGAGCAUUAAACUUUGUAACUGAGUUCUGCCAAGAGCAUUAAACUUUGUAACUGAGUUCUGUCAAGAGGAUUAAACUUUACAUCUCAUUUGUUUUUAGGAAAUUGGUGAACAACAGCCAUACUGCUGGAGAAAUAUAUUUUCCUGUAUCAACCUACUCAGAGUUUUGAACAAACUAACAAAGUGGAAACAUUCUCGUAUUAUGAUGCUUGUGGUUUUUAAAUCUGCUCCAAUCCUCAAACGAGCACUAAAAGUGAAACAUGCCAUGAUGCAGCUGUAUGUUUUGAAGUUACUGAAGAUGCAAACCAAAUAUUUAGGACGACAAUGGCGAAAAAGCAA